AGCCUACGGGAGGCUUCAGUGGGGAAUAUUGGACAAUGGGCGAAAGCCUGAUCCAGCAAUGCCGCGUGAGUGAAGAAGGUCUUCGGAUUGUAAAGCUCUUUCGACGGGGACGAUGAUGACGGUACCCGUAGAAGAAGCCCCGGCUAACUUCGUGCCAGCAGCCGCGGUAAUACGAAGGGGGCUAGCGUUGCUCGGAAUGACUGGGCGUAAAGGGCGCGUAGGCGGUUUGGACCGUCAGAUGUGAAAUUCCCGGGCUCAACCUGGGGGCUGCAUUUGAUACGGCCAGACUAGAGUGAGGAAGAGGGUUGUGGAAUUCCCAGUGUAGAGGUGAAAUUCGUAGAUAUUGGGAAGAACACCGGUGGCGAAGGCGGCAACCUGGUCCUUGACUGACGCUGAGGCGCGAAAGCGUGGGGAGCAAACAGGAUUAGAUACCCCGGUAGUCAG
Molecule: ribosomal RNA, 444 nt
Filed under: uncultured Acetobacteraceae bacterium
Lineage: Bacteria; Pseudomonadati; Pseudomonadota; Alphaproteobacteria; Acetobacterales; Acetobacteraceae
Description: bacterial SSU rRNA
Rfam family: Bacterial small subunit ribosomal RNA
Source: RNAcentral